Pongo pygmaeus (Bornean orangutan) is the source of this 2528-nucleotide long non-coding RNA. RefSeq lists it as uncharacterized. The record is from RefSeq and is a predicted model, not a curated record. Lineage: Eukaryota; Metazoa; Chordata; Mammalia; Primates; Hominidae. The transcript has 2 exons.
AUAAACAUAUUGUUAUCAUUAUUACUGAUGUUAAAAAAAAAAUGUGUUGGGCAAAGGAAGGUGACUCACGUCUGUUAUCUCAGCACUUUAGGAAGCCGAGACCUCCUGCUUGAGGCCAAGAGUUUGAGAGCAGCCUGGGCAAUACGUGGAGGCCCCAUCAAACAAUCAAUGAGUCACAGAUGUGUUGGUUUUCACGUGUGUGUAUUCUUCAUUAGCAAUGAGGACACUGCUGAUAAAGGCACUACAAUAGUUUGUUUUGUGAGCUGAGUUUCCAAAUCAAGCAAAGGGGUACCUCAUAUUGUCAUUAUGUGAAAGUGAAAUGUCAACAUACUUUCACAGAGCUGCUUCUAACCCACGUGAUAUCAUCACACAAUUUUUAAAAAGGAGCGCCCUCUGGGAGGAACAACUAAAAAAAGGGCACCUUUUCCUCUGAUGCCCCUCAUACUGGAUCCCCACUCACCACCUUGAACUGGACACAACCUGCACAACCAUACGCUGUGGCCUCACUUCCAACCGAGGUGAACCCUGUGGUGCAGAGCACACAACUUACUUUUAAUAAGAUGCUGAUAGCACAAGCCACACCAACCGAUCCAGUUCCUACAAUGGAGAUCUUAUUGUGAUGAAUGGCCUCCUCUUCCGCGAAAUUCUUAAUAAGUUCACUCUUGACAGUUGCCAUCUUGGAAACCUAACAGUGAAGACAAAUUGCACAGCCAUUUCCAAGACCUGGAAUUGGAAAUGGCUUGGAAUUCCAAGACCUGUGGUGAGAGCGGGUAUAGAGAACUCCUGGGCCCCUGUGUGGAAGGAGGUGCUGCAGACACACAAAAGACCUACAAAUCUGACCAGCAAAGAAGCUGGGUAGGUUCUGGCCAGGCAGCUCAGCAUCCAUGAAGCGGACCAGGGGAAGGAGAAGGAAGCGUGAGUACAGUUAAGAGGAAUUAAGAGAGAGACAGAGGAAAGGAACAGGGGUUGCUCCACCAAACAUGAAACUACAGCUGGGACGGCACUCCGUCCCGCAGCUGACCCCUUUUUCUCUCCCCUUUUUUACCCUACUUUCCCCCCAACCUCCAGUUCUCAGCUCCAGGACUGCGCCCGGGGUCCGCAGGUCCAGGUGAGAGGUACUUCUGGCCACACUCACAGGGGUGAAGGGCCACCCGCGCCCGAGCAGGUCACAUGCCGCCUGGCGGAGACACAGAACCAUCCUAGGGCAAAAACAAUUCGCUCCCGCGGCGCCCACUCUCUGGCUGCUCCCCAGGACUCUUGCAGCCCAGCUCAUGGCCACUCACUCAAGAGGUGAAGAAAGAGAAUGGAGGAAAGUGGCGUUAAAGCUCGUCCAGGCACGAAGGAGCUCAACCGCCGACUAAGACGCCGUGUCACCCCCUUACUGCAGCUGCGCAGACCGCACCCAGCUCGUGCAGGCAUCGCAGGUGUGAUGCUUGGCAGGUGUGAUGCUUGGCAGGUGUGAGGCCGCAAGGAGGCUGUGAGGCACCGCGCCUGCGCCUCUGCCUGCCCGCCCCGCCCCCGCGUGCGGGUGGGCGCGCUGCGGUGUCGGUGGUUGGCCGGCUGCAGAAGGCGCACAAGGUGCAGCAGGUACAACGCAGUCCAGGGCCUCUGCUGGUCGGGCGGAGUUGUUUGCCUAGAACCCAUCCACCAGAGAGCCCAAGUAAUUUUAUUUCUAACCAAACCUUGUCUGGAUGUAUCUGAAAAGGACUUUUUGACUCUCACUUGGAAAUUUUUCCCCAGCCCUGUAGGAGAAAGGGACCUCAAGAUUAACAUUUACCACCUCAAAUGUGAGCUAAAGUAGAAAAAGUAAAAUUUUAAAACUCUGGGCCGAGCGUGGUGGCUCACGCCUGUAAUCCCAGCACUCUGGAGGCCAAGGCGGGCGGAUCACCUGAGGUCAGGGGUUCGAAAUCAGCCUGGCCAACAUAGUGAAACCACGUUUCUACUAAAAAUACAAAAAUUAGCUGGAUGUGGUGGUACACCCCUGUAAUCCCAGCUACUUGGGAGGCUGAAGCACACGAAUUGUUUGUGAACCUGGGAGGCGGAGGUUGCAGUAAGCCGAGAUUGUGCCACUGCACUCCAGCCUGGGUGACGGAGUGAGACCCUGUCUCAAAACAACAACAACAAAACUCUGUAUGCAAAAGGAAUUUUGAAAUAAGAUAUGAAACCUGAAGAAUUUGAUGAGUGCAGUGCCAAUUGAUAACCAUGUUUACAAGAUGAAGGGAAAGCUCAAUUCAUUAUUAAGUGGUUAAAUGUAGAAUCCACACUUUGGGAGGCCGAAGGCGGGUGGAUUACCUGAGGUCAGGAGUUCGAGACUAGCCUGGCCAACAUGGCGAAACCCCGUCUCUACUAAAAAUACAAAAAUUAGCCGGGUGUGGUGGCACGCACCUGUAAUCCCAGCUACUCAGGAGGCUGGGGCAGGAGAAUCGUUUGAACCCGGGAGGCAGAGGUUUUGGUAAGCCGAGAUCAUGCCACUGCCCUCCAGCCUGGGUGACAGAGUGAGACUCCAUCUCAAAAAUAAAAAAUAAAAA